AUGAAUGUCGACGCGGCAGUGUCUAUGGAAGAGGAGUGUGGUGCAGUGGGAGUGGUGUGCCAAGACCACAAUGGAAGUUUGGUGGGUGCUUCGGCUCUAAAACUCGAGUUCAUCACGGAACCAAGCACACUAGAGGCGAUAGCUGUACGGGAAGGUCAAGCUCUGGCUGAGGAUUUAUAUGAAAAUAAAAUCCAGAUUGUAACGGAUUGCAAGAGGGUGGUGGAUGAUGUUCAGAAGAACUCGGCGGCUGGAUAUGGAGCUAUAGUGCAUUAA
RNAcentral lists this ribosomal RNA (273 nucleotides) under Triticum aestivum (bread wheat). Its description in RNAcentral is "partial small subunit ribosomal RNA". Lineage: Eukaryota; Viridiplantae; Streptophyta; Magnoliopsida; Poales; Poaceae. The record is from RNAcentral.